Molecule: ribosomal RNA, 809 nt
Filed under: uncultured bacterium
Lineage: Bacteria
Description: bacterial SSU rRNA
Rfam family: Bacterial small subunit ribosomal RNA
Source: RNAcentral
AGUCGAACGAGCGAGAGAAAGCUUGCUUUCUCAAGCGAGUGGCGAACGGGUGAGUAACGCGUGAGGAACCUGCCUCAAAGAGGGGGACAACAGUUGGAAACGACUGCUAAUACCGCAUAAGCCCACGGCUCGGCAUCGAGCAGAGGGAAAAGGAGCAAUCCGCUUUGAGAUGGCCUCGCGUCCGAUUAGCUAGUUGGUGAGGUAAUGGCCCACCAAGGCGACGAUCGGUAGCCGGACUGAGAGGUUGAACGGCCACAUUGGGACUGAGACACGGCCCAGACUCCUACGGGAGGCAGCAGUGGGGAAUAUUGCACAAUGGGGGAAACCCUGAUGCAGCGACGCCGCGUGGAGGAAGAAGGUCUUCGGAUUGUAAACUCCUGUUGUUGAGGAAGAUAAUGACGGUACUCAACAAGGAAGUGACGGCUAACUACGUGCCAGCAGCCGCGGUAAAACGUAGGUCACAAGCGUUGUCCGGAAUUACUGGGUGUAAAGGGAGCGCAGGCGGGAAGACAAGUUGGAAGUGAAAUCUAUGGGCUCAACCCAUAAACUGCUUUCAAAACUGUUUUUCUUGAGUAGUGCAGAGGUAGGCGGAAUUCCCGGUGUAGCGGUGGAAUGCGUAGAUAUCGGGAGGAACACCAGUGGCGAAGGCGGCCUACUGGGCACCAACUGACGCUGAGGCUCGAAAGUGUGGGUAGCAAACAGGAUUAGAUACCCUGGUAGUCCACACCGUAAACGAUGAUUACUAGGUGUUGGAGGAUUGACCCCUUCAGUGCCGCAGUUAACACAAUAAGUAAUCCACCUGGGGAGUA